UGGGGAAUAUUGCACAAUGGGCGCAAGCCUGAUGCAGCCAUGCCGCGUGUAUGAAGAAGGCCUUCGGGUUGUAAAGUACUUUCAGUCGGGAGGAAGGUGGUAAGGUUAAUAACCUUGGCAAUUGACGUUACCGACAGAAGAAGCACCGGCUAACUCCGUGCCAGCAGCCGCGGUAAUACGGAGGGUGCAAGCGUUAAUCGGAAUUACUGGGCGUAAAGCGCACGCAGGCGGUUGAUUGAGUCAGAUGUGAAAUCCCCGGGCUUAACCCGGGAAUCGCAUCUGAUACUGGUCAGCUAGAGUCUUGUAGAGGGGGGUAGAAUUCCAUGUGUAGCGGUGAAAUGCGUAGAGAUGUGGAGGAAUACCGGUGGCGAAGGCGGCCCCCUGGACAAAGACUGACGCUCAGGUGCGAAAGCGUGGGGAGCAAACAGG
RNAcentral lists this ribosomal RNA (429 nucleotides) under Chloroflexota bacterium. Its description in RNAcentral is "Chloroflexi bacterium partial 16S ribosomal RNA". It matches the Rfam family "Bacterial small subunit ribosomal RNA", at positions 355 to 776 of the family's 1533-position model. Lineage: Bacteria; Bacillati; Chloroflexota. The record is from RNAcentral.